AGUGAACGCUGGCGGUAGGCCUAACACAUGCAAGUCGAACGGCAGCACAGUAAGAGCUUGCUCUUACGGGUGGCGAGUGGCGGACGGGUGAGGAAUACAUCGGAAUCUACUUUUUCGUGGGGGAUAACGUAGGGAAACUUCCGCUAAUACCGCAUACGACCUACGGGUGAAAGCAGGGGAUCUUCGGACCUUGCGCGAUUGAAUGAGCCGAUGUCGGAUUAGCUAGUUGGCGGGGUAAAGGCCCACCAAGGCGACGAUCCGUAGCUGGUCUGAGAGGAUGAUCAGCCACACGGGAACUGAGACACGGUCCAGACUCCUACGGGAGGAAGCAGUGGGGAAUAUUGGACAAUGGGCGAAAGCCUGAUCCAGCCAUACCGCGUGGGGGAAGAAGGCCUUCGGGUGUUAAAGCCUUUUUGUUGGGAAAGAAAAGCAGCAGGUUAAUACCCCGCUGUUCUGACGGUACCCAAAGAAUAAGCACCGGCUAACUUCGUG
RNAcentral lists this ribosomal RNA (492 nucleotides) under uncultured bacterium. RNAcentral describes it as "partial 16S ribosomal RNA". It matches the Rfam family "Bacterial small subunit ribosomal RNA", at positions 29 to 507 of the family's 1533-position model. The record is from RNAcentral.